Molecule: ribosomal RNA, 462 nt
Filed under: uncultured bacterium
Lineage: Bacteria
Description: bacterial SSU rRNA
Rfam family: Bacterial small subunit ribosomal RNA
Source: RNAcentral
GAUGAACGCUGACAGAAUGCUUAACACAUGCAAGUCGACUUGAAGCAACUUCGGUUGUGGAAAGUGGCGGACGGGUGAGUAACGCGUAAAGAACUUGCCCUUCAGUCUGGGACAACCAUUGGAAACGAUGGCUAAUACCGGAUAUUAUGGAACUCUCGCAUGGGAGGAUCAUGAAAGCUAUAUGCGCUGAAGGAGAGCUUUGCGUUCCAUUAGCUAGUUGGUGAGGUAACGGCUCACCAAGGCGACGAUGGAUAGCCGGCCUGAGAGGGUGAUCGGCCACAAGGGGACUGAGACACGGCCCUUACUCCUACGGGAGGCAGCAGUGGGGAAUAUUGGACAAUGGACCAAAAGUCUGAUCCAGCAAUUCUGUGUGCACGAUGAAGGUUUUCGGAUCGUAAAGUGCUUUUCAGUUGGGAAGAAGAAAGUGACGGUACCAACAGAAGAAGCGACGGCUAAAUACGU